This 29-nucleotide non-coding RNA is filed under the name Rattus norvegicus (Norway rat). The record is from RNAcentral. Lineage: Eukaryota; Metazoa; Chordata; Mammalia; Rodentia; Muridae.
UUGUUUGCAAUUGGAAAGCCUGUGGGGUC